This 460-nucleotide ribosomal RNA is filed under the name uncultured bacterium. RNAcentral describes it as "partial 16S ribosomal RNA". It matches the Rfam family "Bacterial small subunit ribosomal RNA", at positions 338 to 795 of the family's 1533-position model. The record is from RNAcentral.
CCUACGUGGUGCAGCAGUGAGGAAUAUUGGUCAAUGGGCGCGAGCCUGAACCAGCCAAGUAGCGUGAAGGAUGACUGCCCUACGGGUUGUAAACUUCUUUUAUAAAGGAAUAAAGUGAGGCACGUGUGCCUUUUUGUAUGUACUUUAUGAAUAAGGAUCGGCUAACUCCGUGCCAGCAGCCGCGGUAAUACGGAGGAUCCGAGCGUUAUCCGGAUUUAUUGGGUUUAAAGGGAGCGUAGAUGGGUUGUUAAGUCAGUUGUGAAAGUUUGCGGCUCAACCGUAAAAUUGCAAUUGAUACCGGCAGUCUUGAGUACAGUUGAGGUAGGCGGAAUUCGUUGUGUAGCGGUGAAAUGCUUAGAUAUCACGAAGAACUCCGAUUGCGAAGGCAGCUUACUAAACUGCCACUGACAUUGAUGCUCGAAAGUGUGGGUAUCAAACAGGAUUAGAUACCCUUGUAGUC